GAUAGCUCAGUUGGCUAGAGUGUGGUGCUGAUAAUGCCAAGGUUGCAGGUUCGAUAUUUCUGCAUUGCA
Molecule: non-coding RNA, 69 nt
Organism: Podarcis lilfordi (Lilford's wall lizard)
Lineage: Eukaryota; Metazoa; Chordata; Lepidosauria; Squamata; Lacertidae
Source: the annotation of a GenBank genome assembly